GAUGAACGCUAGCGGCAGGCUUAAUACAUGCAAGUCGAGGGGCAGCAGGACUGUAGCAAUACAGUUGCUGGCGACCGGCAAACGGGUGCGGAACACGUACGCAACCUACCCAAAACUGGGGAAUAGCCCGGGGAAACCCGGAUUAAUACCUCGUAACAUAAUGAUGUGGCAUCACAUUAUUAUUAUAGCUCCGGCGGUUUUGGAUGGGCGUGCGCCUGAUUAGGUAGUUGGCGGGGUAACGGCCCGCCAAGCCUGCGAUCAGUAACUGGUGUGAGAGCACGACCAGUCACACGGGCACUGAGACACAGGCCCGACUCCUACGGGAGCAGCAGUAAGGAAUAUUGGUCAAUGGACGCAAGUCUGAACCAGCCAUGCCGCGUGAAGGAUGAAGGUCCUCUGGAUUGUAAACUUUCUUUUAUAUGGGACGAAACCCGGAAUUCCUUCCCGAUUGACGGUACCAUAAGAAUAAAGCACCGGCUAACUCCGUGCCAGCCGCCG
Molecule: ribosomal RNA, 498 nt
Filed under: uncultured bacterium
Lineage: Bacteria
Description: bacterial SSU rRNA
Rfam family: Bacterial small subunit ribosomal RNA
Source: RNAcentral